Molecule: ribosomal RNA, 253 nt
Filed under: uncultured bacterium
Lineage: Bacteria
Description: partial 16S ribosomal RNA
Rfam family: Bacterial small subunit ribosomal RNA
Source: RNAcentral
UACGGAGGAUGCGAGCGUUAUCCGGAUUUAUUGGGUUUAAAGGGUGCGUAGGCGGAUUGAUAAGUUAGAGGUGAAAUGUCCGAGCUUAACUCGGGAACUGCCUCUAAUACUGUUGAUCUAGAGAGUAGAUGCGGUAGGCGGAAUGUAUGGUGUAGCGGUGAAAUGCUUAGAGAUCAUACAGAACACCGAUUGCGAAGGCAGCUUACCAAUCUAUAUCUGACGUUGAGGCACGAAAGCGUGGGGAGCAAACAGG